UUCUAUGGCCAUGCCACCUUGAACGUUCCCGAUCUCGUCUGAUCUCGAAAGCUAAGCAGGGUCUGGCCUGGUUAGUACUUGGAUGGGAGACCACCUAGGAAUAUCAGCUGCUAUAGGUG
This 119-nucleotide ribosomal RNA is filed under the name Pteropus alecto (black flying fox). Lineage: Eukaryota; Metazoa; Chordata; Mammalia; Chiroptera; Pteropodidae. The record is from RNAcentral.